GCAGUCGAGCGAACAGAUAAGGAGCUUGCUCCUUUGACGUUAGCGGCGGACGGGUGAGUAACACGUGGAUAACCUACCUAUAAGACUGGGAUAACUUCGGGAAACCGGAGCUAAUACCGGAUAACAUAUUGAACCGCAUGGUUCAAUAGUGAAAGGCGGCUUUGCUGUCACUUAUAGAUGGAUCCGCGCCGUAUUAGCUAGUUGGUAAGGUAACGGCUUACCAAGGCAACGAUACGUAGCCGACCUGAGAGGGUGAUCGGCCACACUGGAACUGAGACACGGUCCAGACUCCUACGGGAGGCAGCAGUAGGGAAUCUUCCGCAAUGGGCGAAAGCCUGACGGAGCAACGCCGCGUGAGUGAUGAAGGUCUUCGGAUCGUAAAACUCUGUUAUCAGGGAAGAACAAAUGUGUAAGUAACUGUGCACAUCUUGACGGUACCUGAUCAGAAAGCCACGGCUAACUACGUGCCAGCAGCCGCGGUAAUACGUAGGUGGCAAGCGUUAUCCGGAAUUAUUGGGCGUAAAGCGCGCGUAGGCGGUUUUUUAAGUCUGAUGUGAAAGCCCACGGCUCAACCGUGGAGGGUCAUUGGAAACUGGAAAACUUGAGUGCAGAAGAGGAAAGUGGAAUUCCAUGUGUAGCGGUGAAAUGCGCAGAGAUAUGGAGGAACACCAGUGGCGAAGGCGACUUUCUGGUCUGUAACUGACGCUGAUGUGCGAAAGCGUGGGGAUCAAACAGGAUUAGAUACCCUGGUAGUCCACGCCGUAAACGAUGAGUGCUAAGUGUUAGGGGGUUUCCGCCCUUAGUGCUGCAGCUAACGCA
RNAcentral lists this ribosomal RNA (819 nucleotides) under bacterium LGM94. RNAcentral's name for it is "bacterial SSU rRNA". It matches the Rfam family "Bacterial small subunit ribosomal RNA", at positions 57 to 859 of the family's 1533-position model. The record is from RNAcentral.